Molecule: ribosomal RNA, 490 nt
Filed under: uncultured bacterium
Lineage: Bacteria
Description: partial 16S ribosomal RNA
Rfam family: Bacterial small subunit ribosomal RNA
Source: RNAcentral
GAUGAACGCUAGCGGCAGGCCUAAUACAUGCAAGUCGAACGGGAUCCAGAUCAAAGCUUGCUUUGGUCUGGUGAGAGUGGCGCACGGGUGCGUAACGCGUGAGCAACCUACCCUUGUCAGGGGGAUAGCCCGGCGAAAGUCGGAUUAAUACCGCAUGACAUCAUUGAGAGGCAUCUUUCGAUGAUCAAAGAUUUAUCGGACAAGGAUGGGCUCGCGUGACAUUAGCUAGUUGGUAAGGUAACGGCUUACCAAGGCUGCGAUGUCUAGGGGCUCUGAGAGGAGAAUCCCCCACACUGGUACUGAGACACGGACCAGACUCCUACGGGAGGCAGCAGUGAGGAAUAUUGGUCAAUGGACGGAAGUCUGAACCAGCCAUGCCGCGUGCAGGAAGACGGCCCUAUGGGUUGUAAACUGCUUUUAUACGGGAACAAACGUCGGUACGUGUACCGGUCUGAGUGUACCGUAAGAAUAAGGAUCGGCUAACUCCGUG